GUCACCGAGCUAUACUUAAUAAAUGGUUGGACAUUGACAAUUAAGUUAGGUGCUAUAAAUUGGACUUCAUAGUUGAUGAAAUCCAAUGUAUGCAUAAGGAUAUGUAGACUGCCAAUAACAUACUGAUUCAUCUGUAAUAGUUGUGAGAUGAUCAGAGUCGCACAGUGCAUGAGAUGCAUGAUGGGCAGUUUAUCCAUGAU
This 200-nucleotide long non-coding RNA is filed under the name Elaeis guineensis (African oil palm). RNAcentral describes it as "long non-coding RNA (EGUI_LNC062764)". The record is from RNAcentral. Lineage: Eukaryota; Viridiplantae; Streptophyta; Magnoliopsida; Arecales; Arecaceae.